AUGGAUGAUCCCAGCCGGUUAAAUUUCGAUACUAGUGAUCUAGAUGUUGACAUCCCCGAGUGGAUGGAUCCUACAGCCCACAAUACCACCACAUACCCCUCUUCUGACGAGUAUGUAGCGUCCGGCAGCCAAUCCACUACCCAGUCUAAUACCUCCACCUCCAUCGGCACAAAGAGGGUUCGACACAAAACCUCAGCGUGCUGGAACCAUUUCAAAGAAGAAAUAGUCGUGGAGGACGGCGUCAACGUGUUGAAAGCUCGGUGCAAGAGAUGCACCCACUUGCUUUCCAUGGGGGGGCAAGGAGGAACCGGCCACCUCAACAGGCACAUCCUCAAGCACGAGAAAGCGGACAAGCAGUCUGCGGGGACACAGGCCACGCUCAAAUUCAACCCCGACGGGAUAGAUUAUAUCGCUUAUUCCACUAAGGUUCGUGAUAAGCUUUCUGAAGUUUAUGCUAAGUACGAUCAAAAGUAUGCCGGAGUUCGCAUGCAGCGGCCUCCACCAGCACCAACUGGAAAAAAGAAAGGAGCGUGGAGCAAGUUAUUUGGUUCUUCCACCUCUGCCCCGAGCUCUUCCACAUCAGGACCAUCGCAUGUGCUUUUAGGUGGUGGGGAGUUAGCGAAGUACCUCAACAGCGACAAAGUCAGCUUCAAUGAAGAUGAGGACGACGACUUUGACAUAAUUCAGUGA
Molecule: ribosomal RNA, 690 nt
Filed under: Triticum aestivum (bread wheat)
Lineage: Eukaryota; Viridiplantae; Streptophyta; Magnoliopsida; Poales; Poaceae
Description: partial small subunit ribosomal RNA
Source: RNAcentral